GGCGCUAUCGUCUAGGGGUUAGGAUGGAUGGUUCUCAGCCAUUUGACCGGGGUUCGAAUCCCCGUAGCGCCACCA
This 75-nucleotide transfer RNA is filed under the name Candidatus Aerophobetes bacterium Ae_b3a. Its description in RNAcentral is "tRNA-Glu". It matches the Rfam family "tRNA". From Rfam's summary of the family: Transfer RNA (tRNA) molecules are approximately 80 nucleotides in length. Their secondary structure includes four short double-helical elements and three loops (D, anti-codon, and T loops). The record is from RNAcentral. Lineage: Bacteria; Candidatus Aerophobota. RNAcentral also lists the same sequence under 2 other names.